UACGAAGGGGGCAAGCGUUGUUCGGAAUCACUGGGCGUAAAGCGCACGUAGGCGGAUUGUUAAGUCAGGGGUGAAAUCCUGGAGCUCAACUCCAGAACUGCCUUUGAUACUGGCGAUCUCGAGUCCGGGAGAGGUGAGUGGAACUGCGAGUGUAGAGGUGAAAUUCGUAGAUAUUCGCAAGAACACCAGUGGCGAAGGCGGCUCACUGGCCCGGUACUGACGCUGAGGUGCGAAAGCGUGGGGAGCAAACAGG
Molecule: ribosomal RNA, 253 nt
Filed under: uncultured bacterium
Lineage: Bacteria
Description: partial 16S ribosomal RNA
Rfam family: Bacterial small subunit ribosomal RNA
Source: RNAcentral